This 116-nucleotide small nuclear RNA is filed under the name Carassius auratus (goldfish). RNAcentral describes it as "U5 spliceosomal RNA (ENSCARG00000048518.1)". It matches the Rfam family "U5 spliceosomal RNA". From Rfam's summary of the family: U5 RNA is a component of both types of known spliceosome. The precise function of this molecule is unknown, though it is known that the 5' loop is required for splice site selection and p220 binding, and that both the 3' stem-loop and the Sm site are important for Sm protein binding and cap methylation. The record is from RNAcentral. Lineage: Eukaryota; Metazoa; Chordata; Actinopteri; Cypriniformes; Cyprinidae.
ACACUCAUGUUUCUUUUCAGAUCGUAUAAAUCUUUCGCCUUUUACUAAAGAUUUCCGUGGGGAGGAACGCAAUGAGUAUAAACUAAUUUUUUGAAUGCUCUGCUUAAAUGUGGGGU